UACGGAGGGAGCUAGCGUUAUUCGGAAUUACUGGGCGUAAAGCGUACGUAGGCGGCUUUGCAAGUUAGAGGUGAAAGCCUGGAGCUCAACUCCAGAACUGCCUUUAAAACUGCAUCGCUUGAAUCCAGGAGAGGUGAGUGGAAUUCCGAGUGUAGAGGUGAAAUUCGUAGAUAUUCGGAAGAACACCAGUGGCGAAGGCGACUCACUGGACAGGUAUUGACGCUGAGGUGCGAAAGCGUGGGGAGCAAACAGG
This 253-nucleotide ribosomal RNA is filed under the name uncultured bacterium. RNAcentral describes it as "partial 16S ribosomal RNA". It matches the Rfam family "Bacterial small subunit ribosomal RNA", at positions 524 to 776 of the family's 1533-position model. The record is from RNAcentral.